CCUACGGGCGGCUGCAGUGGGGAAUAUUGGACAAUGGGCGCAAGCCUGAUCCAGCAAUGCCGCGUGUGUGAAGAAGGCCUGCGGGUUGUAAAGCACUUUAAGCAGGAAAGAAGGGGUGAAAGUUAAUACCUUUCAUCAUUGACGUUACCUGCAGAAUAAGCACCGGCUAACUCCGUGCCAGCAGCCGCGGUAAUACGGAGGGUGCGAGCGUUAAGUGGAAUGACUGGGCGUAAUGUGCGCGUUCCCGGGUGCAAUCCCUGUGCUUAACCUGGGAACUGCGGUGGAUACUGUCGGGCUAGAGUGUGGUAGCGGGGAGUGGAAUUUCCGGUGUAGCAGUGAAAUGCGUAGAGAUCGGAAGGAACACCAGUGGCGAAGGCGGCUCCCUGGACUAACACUGACGCUGAGGUGCGAAAGCGUGGGGAGCAAACAGGAUUAGAUACCCCGGUAGUC
RNAcentral lists this ribosomal RNA (450 nucleotides) under uncultured bacterium. Its description in RNAcentral is "partial 16S ribosomal RNA". It matches the Rfam family "Bacterial small subunit ribosomal RNA", at positions 338 to 795 of the family's 1533-position model. The record is from RNAcentral.